Molecule: ribosomal RNA, 420 nt
Filed under: uncultured bacterium
Lineage: Bacteria
Description: partial 16S ribosomal RNA
Rfam family: Bacterial small subunit ribosomal RNA
Source: RNAcentral
AUAUUGGACAAUGGGGGCAACCCUGAUCCAGCCAUGCCGCGUGUGUGAAGAAGGUCUUCGGAUUGUAAAGCACUUUAAGUUGGGAGGAAGGGCUUUAGGCUAAUACCCUGAAGUAUUUACGUUACCAUCAGAAUAAGCACUGGCUAACUCUGUCCCCGCAGCCGCGGUAAUAUAGAGGGUGCAAGCGUUAAACGGAAUUACCAGGCGUAAAGCGCGGGUAGGUGGUUCAGUAAGAUGGGUGUGAAAUCCCCGGGCUUAACCUGGGAACUGCUUUCAUAACUGCUGGGCUAGAGUACGGUAGAGGGUAGUGGAAUUUCCUGUGUAGCGGUGAAAUGCGUAGAUAUAGGAAGGAACACCAGUGGCGAAGGCGACUACCUGGACUGAUACUGACACUGAGGUGCGAAAGCGUGGGGAGCAAAC